AUGCCUUCCAAGGAUUAUGCCUUACAUCGCAAAAAGGCGAAGAAUUAUGUCUUACAAGGGAAGUUCGAUCUUACAGCGGCAGAGAAGACGGAAAUAGAUGUGCUUGACGAGAAAAUUCGACCUAAAAUCCCCAUGCUUGUGGUAAGGAUGAAGAAGACCAAUGUGAAACAAUACCCUGAUCUGGCAAUACUUAAGGACUAUGCAGUCAAUCACUUUCCUAGCAAAAGUCAAAAGAUCACACUCAAGCUACAUGGGAAGAGUAAGGAAUGGCUGUGCGAUUUUCGCAGAAUACCUGAUGAAAAGGGACACCACCUCUAUUUGCACGAGUUUGUCCAUGACAAUAAUGUGCGGGAGGGUGAUCUCUGCCUCUUUCAACCAAUGACGAAGGGUGAUGUAAGAAACUUCAAGGUGACAGUCCAUCACCUUCGUGAAGCAAGCGCUGAUCAUUCCCCUGUUGAAAGAAAUGAUAUUGGCAUAAAUGAUGUGACUAUUCAAGAAAGAAGUGCAGAUUCAGUUGAUAUACGAAGCAGCUCUGAUGAUCAUACCAAACAACCAUCAGGAAGAAAAAUAUAUCCUAGCUGUCAGAGGGGUAGCUCAAGGGAUCAUCAAAAUACUGCAAAACCCACUUCCUUUGAGAAAUCAGGAGACAACAGUCCUUUAGCAUGCAAUUCUAUUGAGUCCGAUGAUCGUCGAACACCUCGAGGACAUAAUUAUGCGCUAUCACUUGGCAGUUGUCUAUCUGGGGCACAAUAUGAGAAAGUGAUUGCGCUUGUAGAGAGAAUUCAACCCGAGGCUGCUGUAUACGUUGAUGUCAUGAGUCAGCAUGCUGUUGAACCACCUAGUCCUCUACUGAUCAUUCCUGAGGAACAUGCAAUUGCACACUUUCCAAAUGAAAGUGUGACUAUUGCACUUCAAGCGCCAGACAAAAAGAGCAAGAAGUGGCAUCCCAGAUUCUACAUGACAAAAGAUAGAUGUGAGUACAUGCUUACAGGGCAUUGGUUAGACUUUGUCUGUGACAACAGUGUGCAGGAAGGGGAUAUCUGCAUCUUUGUACCGGAAAAGGGCGGGGCGAGGAGAUCCAAGUUUACCGUUCAUCUAGUUCGUGGAGAAACAACUCAUUCGGGAGGUGGAACUGAUGGUGUUCAAGGGGCUGGUUCAGGCGAGGGUAAAACAAAUACAAAGAGAAAAUGCUCCCUCGGAAAGCGACAUGCAUAG
This 1215-nucleotide ribosomal RNA is filed under the name Triticum aestivum (bread wheat). RNAcentral's name for it is "partial small subunit ribosomal RNA". Lineage: Eukaryota; Viridiplantae; Streptophyta; Magnoliopsida; Poales; Poaceae. The record is from RNAcentral.